UGACAGAGGUCCCAAGCGUUGUUCGGAUUCACUGGGCGUAAAGGGUGCGCAGGUGGCUUGGUAAGUUUGAUGAUGAAAGCUCAGGGCUCAACCCUGAAAUGGCAUUGAAUACUAUCGGGCUUGAGGUUUGGAGGGGGGACUGGGAAUUCCGGGUGUAGCGGUGGAAUGCGUAGAGAUCCGGAAGGAAGCACCGGUGGCGAAGGCGGCCUGCUGGGCAGUUUUGCUGACACUGAGGCGCGACGAGCGUGGGGAGCAAACAGG
Molecule: ribosomal RNA, 261 nt
Filed under: uncultured bacterium
Lineage: Bacteria
Description: partial 16S ribosomal RNA
Rfam family: Bacterial small subunit ribosomal RNA
Source: RNAcentral